Molecule: RNA transcript, 676 nt
Organism: Zea mays
Lineage: Eukaryota; Viridiplantae; Streptophyta; Magnoliopsida; Poales; Poaceae
Gene name: abscisic stress-ripening protein pseudogene
Exons: 1
Source: RefSeq, marked validated
AUCAUCAAAUACAUCCAUCCAUCAUCGCACCUGCAAGCAUCAUCUUCGAGCAGAUCGAACGAACCCCAAGACACAACCGGCCGUCGACUACCGCAUCUCGCGUUCGCGAUCCAAACAAUGGCGCAUCACUUCCUCGGCAACAAGCACCAUGGAGGAGAGGCGGCGAAGGUGACCGACUGGCGCAAGGAGGAGAAGCACCACAAGCACAUGGAGCAGCUCGGCCAGCUCGGCGCCAUCACUGCAGGAGCCUACGCUAUGCACGAGAAGCACAAGGCGAAGAAGCAAGGACCCCGAGCACGCGCACUCGCACAAGAUCAAGGAAGGGGUCGCCGCUGCAGCCGCCGUGGGCAGCGCCGGCUUUGCCUUCCACGAGCACCACCAGAAGAAAGACGCCAAGAAGCACCGCCACCAUGGACACCACCACUAGCUAGUUACUGACGGCUUCCAUUUUCAUUUGCAGGGCGCGCCUGGCAAUCUCGUUCAUACAUAUGCACCGACCGUCGAUAUAAUUAUCUAGCACUUUUAGUAUACAAAUAAAUGAGGUCUCCAAUAUGUAUGCAUAUAUCAUCGUAACGUCGUCAUAGUAUAUAUUACCUCAUUAUGUUUACUAUGUGUGUUGAACACCAUAUAUGAUAUCUGUGAAGGUCAACGGUCCGGUUAUAGGGUCCGAAUUGUC